Molecule: ribosomal RNA, 508 nt
Filed under: uncultured bacterium
Lineage: Bacteria
Description: partial 16S ribosomal RNA
Rfam family: Bacterial small subunit ribosomal RNA
Source: RNAcentral
AUUGAACGCUGGCGGCAGGCCUAACACAUGCAAGUCGAGCGGCAGCGGGAAAGUAGCUUGCUACUUUUGCCGGCGAGCGGCGGACGGGUGAGUAAUGCCUGGGAAAUUGCCCAGUCGAGGGGGAUAACAGUUGGAAACGACUGCUAAUACCGCAUACGCCCUACGGGGGAAAGCAGGGGACCUUCGGGCCUUGCGCGAUUGGAUAUGCCCAGGUGGGAUUAGCUAGUUGGUGAGGUAAUGGCGCACCAAGGCGACGAUCCCUAGCUGGUCUGAGAGGAUGAUCAGCCACACUGGAACUGAGACACGGUCCAGACUCCUACGGGAGGCAGCAGUGGGGAAUAUUGCACAAUGGGGGAAACCCUGAUGCAGCCAUGCCGCGUGUGUGAAGAAGGCCUUCGGGUUGUAAAGCACUUUCAGCGAGGAGGAAAGGUUGGCGCCUAAUACGUGUCAACUGUGACGUUACUCGCAGAAGAAGCACCGGCUAACUCCGUGCCAGCCGCCGCAGUAA